RNAcentral lists this ribosomal RNA (503 nucleotides) under uncultured bacterium. Its description in RNAcentral is "partial 16S ribosomal RNA". It matches the Rfam family "Bacterial small subunit ribosomal RNA", at positions 30 to 523 of the family's 1533-position model. The record is from RNAcentral.
AUUGAACGCUGGCGGCAGGCUUAACACAUGCAAGUCGAGCGGGGUGAUGGUGCUUGCACUAUCACUUAGCGGCGGACGGGUGAGUAAUGCUUAGGAAUCUGCCUAUUAGUGGGGGACAACAUCUCGAAAGGGAUGCUAAUACCGCAUACGUCCUACGGGAGAAAGCAGGGGAUCACUUGUGACCUUGCGCUAAUAGAUGAGCCUAAGUCGGAUUAGCUAGUUGGUGGGGUAAAGGCCUACCAAGGCGACGAUCUGUAGCGGGUCUGAGAGGAUGAGCCGCCACACUGGGACUUGGACACGGCCCGGACUCCGACGGGAGGCAGCAGUGGGGAAUAUUGGACAAUGGGGGGAACCCUGAUCCAGCCAUGCCGCGUGUGUGAAGAAGGCCUUAUGGUUGUAAAGCACUUUAAGCGAGGAGGAGGCUCUUUUGGUUAAUACCCUUGGAUAGUGGACGUUACUCGCAGAAUAAGCACCGGCUAACUCUGUGCCAGCCGCCGCAGUAA